AUGACGUCCUAGGCGUUUUAACAUGCGUAAUGGAAGAGCUUUUCAUCUAAUGGUACUAACAAUGACGUGCUGGUUGUUGUGUAUGAAUUUAACUCCACAAAAUUUAUUCAGCUUCAAUGUGUACCUAUUUUUGGUCUAAUUUCUUAUUUGAACAAGUGGCAUUGCCGUCUAGAUGAACUUGAACACAACACGUAAUUUAGUCAAUUAUUCAAAUGGGUAACACCAUAUAAAUACUCCAUCUAAUGUCGAUCGUGACCAGUAUUAUUUCUGAGACAGAAAUCGGUGUUACAACAAUUUGAAAAAUGAAAUAUUUUCUGAUAAUCGCUUGCGUCGCGCUGCUCUGCUUGGGAAGCGUUCUUGCUUCUGCUGAGCCAACAAUAGGACUUUUGUUUCCUGGACUAGCACAAGCACAGCUCACAGCAAUACAAACGCUGGCCACAGCCAAAGCAACGGCAGUUCAAAAUCUAUUUGGUGGGAUAGGCAAAUAAGAAAUUUGAAAUGUGAACCAACGGAACAAAUUGAUUAAUAAAUUCUCCAGUCCA
Molecule: long non-coding RNA, 542 nt
Organism: Bradysia coprophila
Lineage: Eukaryota; Metazoa; Arthropoda; Insecta; Diptera; Sciaridae
Source: RefSeq, a predicted model, not a curated record